CUUAUGUGGGUGCAUAUUAAAGAGUCUUAGUGCAAAAGAAAAAAGUGUUUAUAUCCUUUGAGAAGAACAUAAGAAAUUACUAAUUCUAAGUUGGCAUAGCAGCAGCAUUUUAGAUGGAUGGGCUGGAUUUAUUCCUACAGCUGUUGUCUUUGCUGCACAUCAAAACUCCUGAUUUUUGCUACAUUUGUGAAUGUUUUCUGUGGCCUCUAUUCCAGCUCAUUUCCACCAUGUCAUAGAGUUGCUGAGGUUCAGACAGGGGACACUAUCAGGGAUCUUCCUCUCAGCAGUGUUUCAGUUCACCUACACAGCGCUAUUUGGUGCUUACACUGCUUUCAUCUUUAUCAGAACAGGUCACCUGAUGGGUCCGGUUCUCUGUCACUCCUUUUGUAACUACAUGGGUUUCCCAGCCAUCAGCACUGCACUGGAGCACCCCCAGCGCCCCAUCAGAUAACAGAAUUCAUGCUAUGUGUUAUGACAUAUAAUUUCCCUUAAUGCCAUUUGUCCCCCCUGACUGCACAAUGACAUUUUAGGCAGGAGUUUUGUUAUUUCUGGCUGCACAACCCUUCAGGACUAAGCACUGCUGUAGCUGCAUUCAACAACAGAAAUAUAUCUGGGGUAGAAUGUUAAAAUAUAUCCACUGUGUAAUUUGCCAAAAUUGUCUCGGGUGUAUAUUAUGCAUUAUUUUAAUUUUUAUGGUUUGAUUUUAAACAGCCAGU
This is a long non-coding RNA of Fundulus heteroclitus (mummichog), 716 nucleotides long. RefSeq lists it as uncharacterized. The transcript has 3 exons. The record is from RefSeq and is a predicted model, not a curated record. NCBI's taxonomy places the organism in Eukaryota, Metazoa, Chordata, Actinopteri, Cyprinodontiformes, Fundulidae.